This 253-nucleotide ribosomal RNA is filed under the name uncultured bacterium. Its description in RNAcentral is "partial 16S ribosomal RNA". It matches the Rfam family "Bacterial small subunit ribosomal RNA", at positions 524 to 776 of the family's 1533-position model. The record is from RNAcentral.
UACGUAGGGGGCAAGCGUUGUCCGGAAUUAUUGGGCGUAAAGAGCGCGUAGGCGGUCUGUCGCGUCGGCUGUGAAAUCCCGAGGCUCAACCUCGGGUCUGCAGUCGAUACGGGCAAACUGGAGUACUGCAGGGGAGACUGGAAUUCCUGGUGUAGCGGUGAAAUGCGCAGAUAUCAGGAGGAACACCGGUGGCGAAGGCGGGUCUCUGGGCAGUAACUGACGCUGAGGAGCGAAAGCGUGGGGAGCGAACAGG